This 309-nucleotide ribosomal RNA is filed under the name uncultured bacterium. RNAcentral's name for it is "partial 16S ribosomal RNA". It matches the Rfam family "Bacterial small subunit ribosomal RNA", at positions 504 to 808 of the family's 1533-position model. The record is from RNAcentral.
AGAGACAGCAGAGCCGCGGGAAUACGAAGGGUGCAAGCGUUAAUCGGAAUUACUGGGCGUAAAGCGUGCGUAGGCGGUUUGUUAAGUCUGCUGUGAAAUCCCCGGGCUCAACCUGGGAAUGGCAGUGGAUACUGGCAAGCUAGAGUGUGUCAGAGGAUGGUGGAAUUCCCGGUGUAGCGGUGAAAUGCGUAGAGAUCGGGAGGAACAUCAGUGGCGAAGGCGGCCAUCUGGGACAACACUGACGCUGAGGCACGAAAGCGUGGGGAGCAAACAGGAUUAGAUACCCCUGUAGUCCCUGUCUCUUAUACA